Molecule: ribosomal RNA, 443 nt
Filed under: uncultured bacterium
Lineage: Bacteria
Description: partial 16S ribosomal RNA
Rfam family: Bacterial small subunit ribosomal RNA
Source: RNAcentral
GUAGGGAAUAUUGGGCAAUGGUCGGAAGACUGACCCAGCCAUGCCGCGUGCAGGAAGACGGCCCUCUGGGUUGUAAACUGCUUUUAUCUGGGAAGAAAAAGGCCAUGCGUGGCAAAUUGCCGGUACCAGAUGAAUAAGCACCGGCUAACUCCGUGCCAGCAGCCGCGGUAAUACGGAGGGUGCGAGCGUUGUCCGGAUGUAUUGGGGUUAAAGGGUGUGUAGGCGGCUGAUUAAGUCAGCGGUGAAAGACUUCGGCUUAACCGGAGCAGUGCCGUUGAUACUGGUUGGCUUGAGUGUCGGAGGGGUACAUGGAAUUGAUGGUGUAGCGGUGAAAUGCAUAGAUACCAUCAGGAACACCGAUAGCGAAGGCAUUGUACUGGACGACAACUGACGCUGAUGCACGAAAGUGUGGGGAUCGAACAGGAUUAGAAACCCCGGUAGCC